GAUGAACGCUGGCGGCGUGCCUAAUACAUGCAAGUCGAGCGAACGGACGAGAAGCUUGCUUCUCUGAUGUUAGCGGCGGACGGGUGAGUAACACGUGGAUAACCUACCUAUAAGACUGGGAUAACUUCGGGAAACCGGAGCUAAUACCGGAUAAUAUUUUGAACCGCAUGGUUCAAAAGUGAAAGACGGUCUUGCUGUCACUUAUAGAUGGAUCCGCGCUGCAUUAGCUAGUUGGUAAGGUAACGGCUUACCAAGGCAACGAUGCAUAGCCGACCUGAAAGGGGGGUCGCCCACACUGGAACGGAGACACCGUCCAGACUCCUACGGGAGGCCGCAGUAGGGAAUCUUACGCAAUGGGCGAAAGCCUGACGGAGCAACGCCGCGUGAGAGAUGAAGGUCUUCGGAUCGUAAAACUCUGUUAUUAGGGAAGAACAUAUGUGUAAGUAACUGUGCACAUCUUGACGGUACCUAAUCAGAAAGCCACGGCUAACUACGUG
Molecule: ribosomal RNA, 497 nt
Filed under: uncultured bacterium
Lineage: Bacteria
Description: partial 16S ribosomal RNA
Rfam family: Bacterial small subunit ribosomal RNA
Source: RNAcentral